AGGAAGCAGGCUCCCUGCUGAGCAGAGAGCCUGAUGCAGGGCUCGGUUCCAGGACCUGAAGAUCACGACCUGAGCUGAAGGCUGAUGCUUAAUUGACUGAGCCACUA
Long non-coding RNA from Mustela erminea (ermine), 107 nucleotides. RefSeq lists it as uncharacterized. The record is from RefSeq and is a predicted model, not a curated record. NCBI's taxonomy places the organism in Eukaryota, Metazoa, Chordata, Mammalia, Carnivora, Mustelidae. The transcript is spliced from 3 exons.